AUGGAAGUGGUGGCCACAUUUCAUGCUACUGAACUCCACUUAAGGAUGGUGAUGAUGGCUCAUUACAUAUACACUGAUGACACUAUAAACACAUUAUAUAUACACACACGUUUUACCAUGGUAAGAAGAGGCGGAGAAGAACUGGAGACAGCAAGUACAGACAGGUCCUUCGAGGGGCAGGACCCGGUGCACAGGAUGAGCACAUGGGACCCCACCCGCAAGGGCUGGGCGCUGUGGUGGGGCAGAGCAGGAAACGCAGUGGGUGGCCCAGGCAGGCACGGAGAGCACCAGGGAUGGGAGCCUGUGAAGGGGGAGCAGGUGGCCCCUCAGAGCAAAGUGACAGCUUGGGUUGCUCCCUCCGCAUCCUGCCCAGGACUGCUACUGUGCUAUGGCCGAGGCCCUGCUUCUCAGCAGGCAGCACCCUCUAUAGAGGGGCUUUACUCCUACACUUCUGGAGCCAGGGGAAGGACCUGGCUUGGAAUAUGGCCAACCAAGAAAAGCCCAGGUGAGAAAUACACGGACCAGACAGGGAGCAGAGAAAGGAGCAGCAAUGCAGUCCCUCAGCCAGGGACUCUGGAGCCUGUCCUUUGGGCCCCACCCCUACCUCUUCAGCACGGCUGUUUCCAGUUUUCUUUCUCUCCCUGCGAAGCCUCUCCUCUCACCAUGCCUACACCUUCCAGAAUCCUGCCUGCUGGCAGCUCCCAGACCUCCAGCCUGGCCCUCCUUAGCUGCAAAGGCGCUUCCCAACGUCCCUCACACAGCCCCUACCCCCAACUGACUCCAACUGUCCUGCAGCCCACGGUCACCCUCAGGACCCCUGAGCUCACGCCAGUUGCUUCAUACACUGCCAGCCAGGUCUCUGCCUGGAUGACAACCACCUUCUGCAAAUCAUUCUCCACACCUCAAGGCCAAAUGCCCUCCAAGCCACCUCACGCACCACAAUGCUACCAAACACACAGAAAAGAGACAUUGAAAAAAGGAAACUUCACAGAGGUGUCAUUGAAACUGGGUCCUGAAACAGAGACACCAUUUCCUCAGGACUUAGCUCCUGCAUCAGGAUGCCCACGGCUGCAGAUGCCCUGGAACAGACACUGA
Molecule: long non-coding RNA, 1095 nt
Filed under: Callithrix jacchus (white-tufted-ear marmoset)
Lineage: Eukaryota; Metazoa; Chordata; Mammalia; Primates; Cebidae
Description: lncRNA (ENSCJAG00000051285.2)
Source: RNAcentral